UACAGAGGGUGCGAGCGUUAAUCGGAAUUACUGGGCGUAAAGCGCACGUAGGCGGCUUGGUAUGUCGGGUGUGAAAUCCCUGAGCUCAACUCAGGAACUGCACUCGAAACUACUUUUCUUGAGUGCCGGAGAGGAAAGCGGAAUACCUGGUGUAGAGGUGAAAUUCGUAGAUAUCAGGUGGAACACCAGUGGCGAAGGCGGCUUUCUGGACGGUAACUGACGCUGAGACGCGAAAGCGUGGGGAGCAAACAGG
Molecule: ribosomal RNA, 253 nt
Filed under: uncultured bacterium
Lineage: Bacteria
Description: partial 16S ribosomal RNA
Rfam family: Bacterial small subunit ribosomal RNA
Source: RNAcentral